AUGCAAUCUUUAAAUUGGAACGGUGUGGAGAGUCAUGGACAGAGGAAAGAACAAUGCCAAGGAGAGGCUGUCCAGGGAAACUUUCAUGGUUCUUUGCUGCCCAAGACCACCUUCAGGCUUGGUGGUUUACUAGGAGGAUUCACUAGACUCAGAAGAGGUGUGAUACUCAUGAUGACAGUUUAUUACAACAAAAAGACACAGACCAAGAUCACCAAAGGGAGAAGGCACGUGUAAUGAAGUCCGGGAGAAACCAAGCACCGCUUCCAGGUGAUCCCUCCCUGUGCAGCUCACAGGAACUCAAAUUUCAGCAAAGAUGUGUGACAACAUGUUCAGUUAUCGCCAACAAAGGAAGGUCACCCAAGCUUCAGAGUCCACAGAUUCCUUUACUGAGGCUCACAGCGCCUAAGUGACCUACCAUGGAUACUCAGGAUCCGCAGAAGGCAAAGAUGUAGUGCUGCCUCAGGCAAUACAAAGUCCACCCUUCAUCAUGAGUCACAUUGUUAGCAUAAAUUAUCUGGUCAUAAUGAUACAGUGGGACCUACAGGCGUAAGCAUAAAAAUCGCUCUCACUAGUCAAGAUAUUCCAAGGACUCAGAAGUGGUCUUCCUGGAGCUGGUCAAGGGCAAGUCCUUAUUUUUUUCUUUCUUUUUGCCACACUGCACGGCUUGUGGGAUCUUAGUUCCCCAGCCAGGGAUUGAACCCAGGCCCUCAGUAAUGAAAGUGCAGAGUCCUAACCACUGGACCACCAGGGAAGUCCCCCACAGGUACAUUUUAGAACACGUUCAGGUGCAUAUUAGAACCUCGUUACUAUGGCUGACAAAGUUCUACACAAUUUGCCUCCCUUUAUCUCUCCAACUUACCUCAUACCACUCUAGCCCCUGAAGAUGCAGCUCUAAGCCACGCUAGCCUUGCUUUUCUGCAAACACCCCAAUACACUCCGAACCCAGGAAUGUCUUUCUCAAAGACCUAGGAAUCCAUCUCUUUGAAAUGAAGACAUCAAAGGAGAUAGCAUCCCUACAUCCCAGCUUCUGUGGGAGGGUAGGAGCCUAACUUUGACAGGCACCUUGCUCCAAGUAGCAAAACUACCUCUGUCAUAAAGAAUUGAGAAGUUAGUUUUCCCUUCUAGAAAGCCAGUGUAACAGCAGAUAGUCACCCCAAUUACCAGGUAAAUUUAGGGUGAACUAUGUGUAACAAAUGGUGCUGUCAAUACUCGAGAACUAAUUAUUGUUUGAAAAUGUAUGUAAUGGGUUGUGUCUGUUUGGCUAUAUGAAAGGGUGAGUUUUAUUCUUUGCAAUCUCUUAGCAGCUGUGCUGUGCAUCACAUUCUGGUUUAAUGCUUAUACAAUAUUAAACUUUUAUUUCUCUACUAUCUUUUCGGAGAGGUUUUUCUGAGUUGGAGGAGAUUUUUUCCUUUUUAAAUUUCCCCACCAAUUCACACUAUUACCUGUCUAAAAGAAUUCAAUUGCAAAUGUUUUUGAAAUUUCUGUGUAUGCCAAACAAAUAAAUAUGGGGGAUGAUUUUACUAUUUGAGACCCAGAAUGCAAACUGAUUACUGGGUCCAACAAAUACACUUGACCCUUGAACAAAAGGGGUUGAACUGCCUAGGUCCACUUAGGCAGGUUUUUUUCAAUAGUAAAUGCUAUAGCACUGCACCACUUGGGGUUGUUUGAACCCCUCCCUGGAUGCAGACCCGCAGAUAUGGAGGAAUCUCAAAUACUGAUAAGGCAAGCUGGAACGUGGGACCAUUUGCUGCAGUGCUUGCACCUGGACAAACAUCUCCUCCAGCAACAAAAUACAAAGAAACUAUAAGGGACUAAAAAUAACUGCGUGCAUGUGCAGUUGGGGCAAAUUAUGAGCAACAAGAUACAAAAAGACCAAAAACCCAACUGUCACUUCUAAGGAGCUGGGAACAGAAGCAGGGUACCAGGAGCAAAAACAAGGUACUGGGAGCAAAAACGGUACUGUGCAUGCCCCCUGCACACAGCACCACCAAGGAGGUGGGCAGAUUACCUAAGCCACCCCUCCAGCCCCACCCCUGGGCUCACCUCGUUUAAGGGCCCAGCCUGCCCCGCUUCAGGGAGCGAGCCAGCGAACCUGCUACUUGUUUUCUCCCUCCUGCUGCAGGAGUCCCAAUAAAGCCUUACCUGAAUUUCUCCUCAGGCCUCAUAUCAAUUUCUAUUGAUUAGGGAGUCCAAGAACCCUGGUGGUAACACUGAGGGCCAACCAUAAGUUAUAUGCUGAAGGUCAGCACCCUUAAAUACCACCCCCGCCCCAUCCCGCUUGUUCAAGGAUCAGCUGUGCUGUAGUAAGUACAUGAGACAGGAGGGCUGAAUGCAGCUGUGGUCCGUGCCCCCACUUCAAGUGGCCCGGGCAGUCCUGGGCUGGGGGAGGCAGGUGUAUUGGGGGAGGGCACACAAGCCACAGGAUACUGGGGGACAGAGGCACAAAUUUCGGGGAGCUCCACAGUGGUGACCCUCACAUAAGCGAGUGACUGAGGAGGACCCUGGGGAGCGGCCUGAAUAGGACACGCCCUUCAAGCUGGGGCCAGUUGGGCUGCACGUGGUUCUGGAGUUUGCCAACUGCAUAACGUACCCCGGCAGCUUCCUACGGUGUGUUUAUAUUCAGCCACACCUGCGUCACGUCACUGAGUUCGUUAAAGCAGUCACUCAGUCACGGAUUUAUAUGUUUGCUCAUUCAUUCAGGCUUCUUGCAUUACAAACUCUCCACACCCCUCCACCCUCUCUCCCCUUCCGGUUUCUGGCGCUCCCUCCUCUCGUGUCUUUCU
Molecule: long non-coding RNA, 2783 nt
Organism: Delphinapterus leucas (beluga whale)
Lineage: Eukaryota; Metazoa; Chordata; Mammalia; Artiodactyla; Monodontidae
Source: Ensembl